RNAcentral lists this transfer RNA (86 nucleotides) under Fibrobacterota bacterium. Its description in RNAcentral is "Fibrobacteres bacterium (bioreactor metagenome) tRNA-Leu". It matches the Rfam family "tRNA". From Rfam's summary of the family: Transfer RNA (tRNA) molecules are approximately 80 nucleotides in length. Their secondary structure includes four short double-helical elements and three loops (D, anti-codon, and T loops). Further hydrogen bonds mediate the characteristic L-shaped molecular structure. tRNAs have two regions of fundamental functional importance: the anti-codon, which is responsible for specific mRNA codon recognition, and the 3' end, to which the tRNAs corresponding amino acid is attached (by aminoacyl-tRNA synthetases). tRNAs cope with the degeneracy of the genetic code in two manners: having more than one tRNA (with a specific anti-codon) for a particular amino acid; and 'wobble' base-pairing, i.e. permitting non-standard base-pairing at the 3rd anti-codon position. Lineage: Bacteria; Pseudomonadati; Fibrobacterota. The record is from RNAcentral.
GCCGGAGUGGUGAAAUUGGCAGACACACGGGACUCAAAAUCCCGCGGGACUCAAAUCUCAUGUCGGUUCGACCCCGACCUCCGGCA